GUCAAUUGGUUACUGUGAGGACAAGGAAGAGUCAGUGCCUGGAGGAGCUGCCUACAAGGAGCAUUAAGGAGGAGAUCUUUCCCUGAAAACUUUUCCAUCUAGAAGCCUGCUUGAUCCAGAGCAAUGUCAGCUGUGGAAGGAGGCAAAGGAGCAUCUGUGCUGUUUCCUGCCCCUUCUGCAAAACUGAUCUUAUUUGAGUCACUGCUUUUCCCUCCUCAUGGCCUUAUUCUGUUUGCAGACUCCUCACAGCUGAGCAUUUUGCAACAUCUAAUCAGUGAUUUUUCCAACACUGCUACUAAUUGCUUGUGCCCAUGCCAAUACUUCAGUGCCUGGUAAAUUCUUGAAUCUGAAAAUUUGUGAAAUCCCAGAGCAAGCUCCUAAUUCCACAUCCACACACUCUCUUCAUCCCUUUCUUUCCUCUGAGAUCACAUUUUCCACUCCCAUGUUUUAGAUUGCCUCUUAAAGCAGAAGUACCAAGCCUGCUAGAAUUAAGGAUGAUGCUCUCAGGCACACGUGGGGGUUCUUGGGGCUGUGAAGAGACCGGAGCUGGACUUUGAUUAUCCUAAUGAGUCCCCUAUAAUUCAGGAUAUUCUAUGUUUCUGUGUUUCGAUGUUUCUGUAUUUACAAGGCCCAUCAACUGAAGAAAUGGGAUGUGAAACUCCUACAAGGUUCCUGACAUGAUUUUUUAACAGCAGCCAUGUCAUGUCUUGGCUGGAGAAGAGCAUCAGCCUGUGCAUCAAGGCCUGUGGCCCCACGAAACCCUGUCUCCACCAGGAUCCUGCAGCACCAGUGAGCACAACCAGGGGUUUAACAGACCUGAUUUCAACCAGCUGCUGUGUCCUGCAGGGACUGGAGUAUCAAAUCUGAACAUCCUGCUCUUUAUCACUGAGGGACACAGGCUCCUAUUUCCACCACCGUGGGAGAGGACUGCAGCGCAUUCAGGCUCUCUGUGAUCAGACCUGUCACAGGAGGAUGGAAAUCUCUAAUUGGAGAGACAGGAAUGGGCUUGAAACAAGGCAUCACACACAAAGGCACCAUGAAAAGUCUGGGAGAUGAGGUCAAGUGAUGAAGCAGCAGAGCAAAUGGAGGAAACUCUCCUGUCAGACUGGCUUUCAAAUUCAGAAGAGAAGGAAAUCAGUGUUUCAUGACAUUGAACUGGGUGCUGGUGACUGCUCAGGCAAUUGUCCUGAUUUGUCCUUACUCUGAUGCUGACUCAUUCUUGCCCCUUGAGUCCAUCAUUGCAGAUAUCGCAAGAUUAUUCAAUUCCUUCAGACACCUCCAUGACUAAAAUUUGACCAAAGUUUGCAGAUAACUCACUGUCAGAGGUUUUUAUGAUGGUCCAGAAAAGAAGUCAUUUUAAGCAAUGUCUUGUGCCUCUAAAAAUUGGCAUCCUCAGGUAUCUUACUACGUUUGUCCAAUAGCUUUUGUCCCCACACAUUUGGGAAUUGUCACACCAAAACCUGCAUAGCCUCCACUAUGUGUAAGUGCAAAAACUUAGAAGAUGCCAGGUAAAAUGCAUAUUUUUAUCCACAAAUAAUUUUCUGGGUCAUUCCUAAUAUGCUGUAUGAUUUAUUUAUCUUUGCAAUUAUAUUAUUUUGAGGAGGAAGGUUAAUAUACAUAUUCUAGUUCCUACAAAGAGCACAAAGCUUAGAAUCAGACAAUGUUGAUUAAAAAGACUGAAGGUUUUUUAUACAGCUAUAAUUUUUGCGUAAAAAGUGAGUCAAAAUUUGCAGAGAAAGGAAAUACCAUUUCUUAGACAUUCUUAUUGGCAGCUAGAAAAAUAGACAAGCUUUUGCUUUCACUGAGACUUUGGUUCUGAAGCAUAACCAAAGAGCCUCAAGCUAAGCAGAGUUUGGAAACUGCUCUGGAUAUAACUUCAUUAUGUUAGCUGAUUAGACAAUUUCAAAAAAAAAAGGCAGUUGGUAUCUGAGCAGAGCAGGGUACUUAAUCAGAACAGAAGUAAUAACAUUUGUAGACCCUGUGGUUAGUAGAGAUAGAAAGGCAGGUAAUUAUAGCACAAAAGCUGGUGACUAGCUGGAAUGAGAUUUGAGGGAAAUUACUACGUGUCAGAUCAUUGUGUCUCUAUUGAUACAAUUAUUUUUGACGUCCAGUAGAGUUAUGAUUGUAUUUCCAGGCUUAGUUUUGAAGAUAAUUUCUAAAUCUUUCAUAAACAGAAUGGUGAAAUUAUACAUAGAAAAUACCUGGAGGUUACAUGGUGUUCUUCACUGGAUCAUUUGCCUUGAUCAAUUCCAUGAUGGUGCACAGCCCCAGCUUGGAUUGACCCUUGUCAUCUCCACGAGUACCAUGAUGCCAUGAAUGAUUUAUUUCUCAUUUGGGGAUUCACUGCUUGUUCAUAUGUGGUAUUCAAGGCAUUACUUCAUUGUCUCAAAGGUCUUUUCCAACCUAGUUGAUUCAGUGAUUCUGGGAUAAACAGUUUUUAUUGCACUGCUUUUUUAGAAACCAGUUCUCCAGGAAAUGUGUCCACAUUUGUCACAAGCAACAAAAACAUUUGAUAGAUAAAAACAAUCCUUCCAGCUGGGAGUUCAUAGCACAGUCAC
Molecule: long non-coding RNA, 2558 nt
Organism: Zonotrichia leucophrys gambelii
Lineage: Eukaryota; Metazoa; Chordata; Aves; Passeriformes; Passerellidae
Exons: 5
Source: RefSeq, a predicted model, not a curated record